This 85-nucleotide transfer RNA is filed under the name Felis catus (domestic cat). It matches the Rfam family "tRNA". Rfam says of the family: Transfer RNA (tRNA) molecules are approximately 80 nucleotides in length. Their secondary structure includes four short double-helical elements and three loops (D, anti-codon, and T loops). Further hydrogen bonds mediate the characteristic L-shaped molecular structure. tRNAs have two regions of fundamental functional importance: the anti-codon, which is responsible for specific mRNA codon recognition, and the 3' end, to which the tRNAs corresponding amino acid is attached (by aminoacyl-tRNA synthetases). tRNAs cope with the degeneracy of the genetic code in two manners: having more than one tRNA (with a specific anti-codon) for a particular amino acid; and 'wobble' base-pairing, i.e. permitting non-standard base-pairing at the 3rd anti-codon position. Lineage: Eukaryota; Metazoa; Chordata; Mammalia; Carnivora; Felidae. The record is from Rfam by way of RNAcentral.
GCCUGGGUGGCUCAGUCGGUUGAGCGUCUGACUCCGGCUCAGGUCAUGAUCUCGGGGCUCAUGGGUUCAAGCCCCGCAUCGGGCU